Molecule: ribosomal RNA, 433 nt
Filed under: uncultured bacterium
Lineage: Bacteria
Description: partial 16S ribosomal RNA
Rfam family: Bacterial small subunit ribosomal RNA
Source: RNAcentral
AACGAACGCUGGCGGCAUGCCUAACACAUGCAAGUCGAACGAGACCUUCGGGUCUAGUGGCGCACGGGUGCGUAACGCGUGGGAACCUGCCCUUAGGUUCGGAAUAACUCCCCGAAAGGGGUGCUAAUACCGGAUAAUGUCUUCGGACCAAAGAUUUUUCGCCUUUGGUUGGGCCCGCGUUGGAUUAGCUAGUUGGUAGGGUAAAAGCCUACCAAGGCGACGAUCCAUAGCUGGUCUGAGAGGAUGAUCAGCCACACUGGGACUGAGACACGGCCCAGACUCCUACGGGAGGCAGCAGUGGGGAAUAUUGGACAAUGGGCGAAAGCCUGAUCCAGCAAUGCCGCGUGAGUGAUGAAGGCCGUAGGGUUGUAAAGCUCUUUUACCCGGGAUGAUAAUGACAGUACCGGGAGAAUAAGCUCCGGCUAACUCCGUG